RNAcentral lists this ribosomal RNA (422 nucleotides) under uncultured bacterium. RNAcentral's name for it is "bacterial SSU rRNA". It matches the Rfam family "Bacterial small subunit ribosomal RNA", at positions 355 to 774 of the family's 1533-position model. The record is from RNAcentral.
UGAGGAAUAUUGGGCAAUGCCCGCAAGGGUGACCCAGCAACGCCGCGUGGAGGAUGAAUGUCGUAAGAUUGUAAGCUCCUGUUAGAGGGGAAGAAUAGUACCGGUUGGACCGGUAUAUGACUGUACCCUCAGAGAAAGCCCCGGCUAACUACGUGCCAGCAGCCGCGGUAAUACGUAGGGGGCAAGCGUUGUCCGGAAUUACUGGGCGUAAAGGGUGCGCAGGCGGUCUUGCAAGUCAGAUGUGAAAGCCCCGGGCUUAACCUGGGAAUUGCGUUGGAAACUACAAGACUAGAGUGCAGCAGAGGGGAGUGGAAUUCCAUGUGUAGCAGUGAAAUGCGUAGAGAUGUGGAAGAACACCGAUGGCGAAGGCAGCUCCCUGGGUUGACACUGACGCUCAUGCACGAAAGCGUGGGGAGCAAACA